Pezoporus occidentalis (night parrot) is the source of this 571-nucleotide long non-coding RNA. RefSeq lists it as uncharacterized. NCBI's taxonomy places the organism in Eukaryota, Metazoa, Chordata, Aves, Psittaciformes, Psittacidae. The transcript is spliced from 3 exons. The record is from RefSeq and is a predicted model, not a curated record.
CAAAGAGUACAUGCACCAGACUAUUUAUUGUCUUAUGAAAGGUUUGCUCCCUGCAAUGUUGCUUUGCAUGAUCUGCACCCACCCAGCGCAUUGGCUGGCGCAUUGGUUGCGUUAUGUCACAAUGAGCUGCAGAAUUGGCCAACAUCAGUUUUAAGGGAAUUGACAGGACUACUAUCGGGCUUACCACUUUGACCUGUACCAGAUACUUCAAAGGCAAAGAAUACAAGAAACUCUGUAUUGGAAUCAUCUGCUAGCAGAGGAAAUUUCUUCCCAACAUCAGACAGUUUGUCACUGAUUUAACCCCUCUGACAGGAAAGUUUAUGUGCCUCUUAAAAAACAAUCCAGUUGAAUGUAACAGUGAUGUAAGUUUGUUCAUUAAGCCUAAUGAUUUUUUGUUUGAUAUGUGUUUGAUUUCUCUGACCUACCAUUACAACCCUCCUACCAUUUUCUCUGGAGAUUUUUCUUGUGCUAAAGUAACAGUUUGAUUCUUUUUCCAGCCAAUUUUUAUAUAGAUAACCCUGCAAAGUUAAUGAUGCUCAAGAGCUGAGGCCCUAUAGCAGCCAUUUUGCAA